RNAcentral lists this ribosomal RNA (534 nucleotides) under Klebsiella pneumoniae. RNAcentral's name for it is "bacterial SSU rRNA". It matches the Rfam family "Bacterial small subunit ribosomal RNA", at positions 920 to 1454 of the family's 1533-position model. The record is from RNAcentral. Lineage: Bacteria; Pseudomonadati; Pseudomonadota; Gammaproteobacteria; Enterobacterales; Enterobacteriaceae.
CCCGCACAAGCGGUGGAGCAUGUGGUUUAAUUCGAUGCAACGCGAAGAACCUUACCUGGUCUUGACAUCCACAGAACUUAGCAGAGAUGCUUUGGUGCCUUCGGGAACUGUGAGACAGGUGCUGCAUGGCUGUCGUCAGCUCGUGUUGUGAAAUGUUGGGUUAAGUCCCGCAACGAGCGCAACCCUUAUCCUUUGUUGCCAGCGGUUCGGCCGGGAACUCAAAGGAGACUGCCAGUGAUAAACUGGAGGAAGGUGGGGAUGACGUCAAGUCAUCAUGGCCCUUACGACCAGGGCUACACACGUGCUACAAUGGCAUAUACAAAGAGAAGCGACCUCGCGAGAGCAAGCGGACCUCAUAAAGUAUGUCGUAGUCCGGAUUGGAGUCUGCAACUCGACUCCAUGAAGUCGGAAUCGCUAGUAAUCGUAGAUCAGAAUGCUACGGUGAAUACGUUCCCGGGCCUUGUACACACCGCCCGUCACACCAUGGGAGUGGGUUGCAAAAGAAGUAGGUAGCUUAACCUUCGGGAGUGCGCU